UGAACGCUAGCGGCAGGCUUAACACAUGCAAGUCGAGGGGCAGCGCGUUGUAGCAAUACGAAUGGCGGCGACCGGCGCAAGGGUGCGUAACGCGUGAGCAAUCUGCCCGUAGUCAGGGGGAUAAGCGAUGGAAACGUCGUCUAAUACCGCAUAACAACGUUGGAGGCAUCUCCGACGUUUGAAAGCUUCGGUGGAUACGGAUGAGCUCGCGAGACAUUAGUUAGUUGGCGGGGUAACGGCCCACCAAGACCGCGAUGUCUAGGGGAACUGAGAGGUUGGUCCCCCCACACUGGAACUGAGACACGGUCCAGACUCCUACGGGAGGCAGCAGUGAGGAAUAUUGGACAAUGGCCGGAAGGCUGAUCCAGCCAUGCCGCGUGAAGGAUAAGGUCCUAUGGAUUGUAAACUUCUUUUGAGUGGGAGCAAUAAGGAUGUCGUGACAUCCGAUGAGAGUACCAUUCGAAUAAGCAUCGGCUAACUCCGUGCC
Molecule: ribosomal RNA, 487 nt
Filed under: uncultured bacterium
Lineage: Bacteria
Description: bacterial SSU rRNA
Rfam family: Bacterial small subunit ribosomal RNA
Source: RNAcentral